GUUUAUCAGAGAAGGAAGGUAACAGUGAGUCAUUUCUACUCCUGAUGAAACCAUAGUACCUGAGAGGACAAGGAGUGGGGGUUGUCACAGCAGGAGGCAGUGACCUGGCUUGCAAAGUUUCUUGCAGACUGAGAAAACAUACCCAUGGUUAACUUACCUCUGCUAAGACUUGCUGAAGGAUAUAUGGAGGACGGUGACUAGAAUAAUGUAUCCACACAGAGAAAGGUGCGUGGACACUGACACUGGAGGGCUGCUAAGUGCCCCUGCCAAUCUCCAUUGUCUUUAAUCUCUGCACUCACCACCCCAUCUGAUCAACAGAGGACUCUUCAGCAGUGAACCGCUGUAGACAACAGAUGGCAGAUAAUCACCCGAACAGCCUCCAGUUUUGUCAGGAAAGGAGAAGCGAUCAUCUUCCUCUCUCUUACAGUAGGCCACUACUUUGGGGGAUAGAGUGUGGAGUGAGGAAGAGUUUGUCACAGAAGUCUUUCCUGUUUGUCUCUCAACUGUGCAUCUGAAGUCAUCAUCCAUAUUGCUGCAAGAAGAGCUACCUUUCUUGCUCUUUACAUUCAACAGGAGCAUGGAUCAUGGGCUUCCAUCUGGAUUCUGUUGACUACACAGACCACUACCGCUGCCCCUAGCUGCCUCAGGACCACAGAUCCAGAUAAGGCAGCACAGACUGUGGACAUCAUCCUGGCCCCAGGUGGCUACACAGGCCACUCACAUCAGCUUGCCCCUCAGCAGCAGCACUGCUCAUGGCCAUCAUCAUGACUUCAGGCCACAGUGCAGACUAGGAGGAUCCGAAUGGCCUGAAGUUGUAACAAAGGCCCCAGACAUCAACCCAUACCCUAGAUAAAUCAGAACUAUUGACCCACACAUAGCCAUCAGUGGCAGCAUGGACCAAAGACAUCAUCAUGACCCUAUGUAGCUACAUUGGCCACUUACUUCAACAUGGCCCCUGCCCUGUAGUACAGCCCUCAGGUAUCAACUUUGCUUCAUGUGGCAGCACUGACCACUGAUAUCUGUAUGGCCUUGAUUGAUAACACAUGCUACAGAUGUCAACACAGCCACCUGGCUGUAUCAGGACCACCAACUCACUCAUGAUCCUCUCGGGCAGGAGGGACCACGGGCCUCAAUAUGCCCUCAGGUAGCUACACAGGCCAUUCACAUCAAUAUGGCCUAACAAAGCAGCAAGUCCCAAGGACAUCAAGAAGAAUUGAGCCAGUGACAGGCUGUGUACAUCCACAUGGAUAUUGGACUUCAUAGUAGCCUGGGACAGCAGCAUGGAUCAUAGACACCAACAUGGCCUCCAGUGACAUCAGGAGGAUCAUGAGGAGGUCCAAUCCAGAGAGUGAACCAUUCCUCAUCUUGGGCCUCCUAAAGCUGGGGUGAUGCCACAGCUGUAUUCGGAGCUGAGUCUGCUUCUGUGUAAGCUCCACCCUGCUGACCUUACUGGGCAACUACUUGUUCCACUGACAACCUCAGCCCUCUCUCAUACCUGUUACCGCUCCUUGAGUUCAAAUUGUACAUGUGCCAACAAAGAAGCUAAAGAUGUAUACUAGCCUUAACUGUAUACCAUUCAGGGUUCUGGCCAUUGGCUAGAUACUGCACAAUAAACUGCUCUCUGGGAAAAAAAAAAAGGCAGAAGGAGGAAGGAUUGGAAUGGAGAGGCCACGGGAAGAAACUGGGAGGAGCAGAGGAGUGGAAAUGGAAUCAGAAUAUAUUAUUUGAGGGAAAGAAAAACUUUUCUUAUUCUUGUUAAAAUGACACUAAACAAUAAAAGAAUAUAUUUUUUAGUUAUAUGAGCAGAAAAAAAGAGAUAUAUAAAGGGCUCACAUUCCUAUUAUACUGUUAACUAUGAGAUUAAUCUGUCAAUCUUGACACAUUUAUGUACAUUCUGAUUUAUGCGUUUGUUUACCUGAAGAGG
Molecule: non-coding RNA, 1924 nt
Organism: Peromyscus maniculatus bairdii (prairie deer mouse)
Lineage: Eukaryota; Metazoa; Chordata; Mammalia; Rodentia; Cricetidae
Source: RefSeq, a predicted model, not a curated record